Molecule: ribosomal RNA, 607 nt
Filed under: Glomus sp. MS
Lineage: Eukaryota; Fungi; Glomeromycota; Glomeromycetes; Glomerales; Glomeraceae
Description: SSU rRNA
Rfam family: Eukaryotic small subunit ribosomal RNA
Source: RNAcentral
GGAUUAGUACGUUGGUCGUGCCUUCGGUACGUACUGGUGUUACUGAUUCCUACCUUCUGACGAACCAUCAUGUCAUUAAUUUGGUGUGGCGGGGAAUCAGGACUGUUACUUUGAAAAAAUUAGAGUGUUUAAAGCAGGCUCGCGCUUGAAUACAUUAGCAUGGAAUAAUGAAAUAGGACGUUGACCCUAUUUUGUUGGUUUCUAGGAUUGACGUAAUGAUUAAUAGGGAUAGUUGGGGGCAUUAGUAUUCAAUUGUCAGAGGUGAAAUUCUUGGAUUUAUUGAAGACUAACUACUGCGAAAGCAUUUGCCAAGGAUGUUUUCAUUAAUCAAGAACGAAAGUUAGGGGGUCGAAGACGAUCAGAUACGGUCGUAGUCUUAACCAUAAACUAUGCCGACUAGGGAUCGGAUGAUGUUAUUUUUAAUGACUCAUUCGGCGCCUUACGGGAAACCAAAGUGUUUGGGUUCCGGGGGGAGUAUGGUCGCAAGGCUGAAACUUAAAGGAAUUGACGGAAGGGCACCACCAGGGGUGGAGCCUGCGGCUUAAUUUGACUCAACACGGGGAAACUCACCAGGUCCAGACAUAGUUAGGAUUGACAGAUUGAGAGC